AUCAACAAAGAUUUCAAGCAGAAGAGUUUACCAAGAGUUAAGUGUUAAAGAUAAGCAAUUUUUUAGUUUAUCCUUUUUAAAUAUGCCCAUCCAGCCCAAUUACAAUUGAGGAGAUGACAAAUGGGCAUACUCAUAGCCAUUCGUAUAUGUCAACAAAGUUUUCUGUAAAACUUUUUCAGGAAUUACUUGAACGACAUCUUAAGAGUUAAUACAGUAUCCUUUUUGUAUCCGCUGCAAUAUUUCGUUCACCUAUAGUACAGUAAAUAUCUAAAAUUGCCAAGUGCGUGUCCUCAUGCUGAAGUUUCAACUGAGUUUCUGUAUUGACAUAAUGAUCGCAAGAAGUCGAUCUACCAUGAAGUUGAGAAACUUUCAAGGAGUAAGCUAAAUAUUCCCGAAGAAGUAUAAAUGUACUUUCAGCAUUGCUUUGAGCAUCCUAGAAGGUUAUUUAAGAAGGAUACCUAGAAUCAUUAACUAAAAACUGCAUUUCAGGUGAUAAAUAAAGCUGGCAAAUUUUAGAUGUGCUAGCUGUUAGUUAUAACAUAAUAUGUAUUUUACUCUUGAUGCAAUUUUAGAACUUGAUCGAUGAUGCCAAAGCCCCAUCUCCUGGGUCCUUUGGACAUGGAAUCUUGGCCUUGGUCAAGGUCAAAUUUGUGGCUUAGUUUGAAAAGACCUAACUGGGUCUGCGUACAUAUUACCCUCCCCAGACCCCACUUGUGGGAUUAUACUGGGUCGUUGUUGUUGUUGUUUGAAAAGACUUAACAUUGAGACAAGGCACAAUUUCAGACUUUUGCUUUUCUUUGUUUUUGUUAUGUAGGGUCUGCAUUAAAUACACACUGUGAGGGCAACAUGUGUGACAAAAUUACUUGGCCUCAUUGUGCCUGUUUAAUUUGGCAUCUGUCCAUUAUAUUGUUAGAUGUGUAUUUUAGUCAUUAUUGAAAUAGAGAAAAAGGAGGAUAGUACAUCUGUACAUGCCCUAGAAAGCAAAAGGGAACUGCACUAAUAUUUGGCCAUAGGUUGAAAUAGAUAUAGCUGUCUCUCUGUGAAUCUUAUGAAUGAUAUUCUGGCAAUGUUUACAAUGGUGGUAAUAUAUUGAAUAGGCAAUAGAUAUGAUGAAAGCAGGGGGGAUUUUAGUGCAGCAAUAGUGUGCAGAAGGUAGACUGACAUGGAUGAGAAGGAUGUGUCUGCAGUUAGAAGGGAAAAAAAAAACAGAUCCACCACUAGAACCUUUGUCACACUUUUUAAAGUUUUACCCCACAAAGCUAAUGACGCACGUUUGGUUUCUCUCUUCUUUUCUUUGUUGUGCGAAUCUACUUUUGGUUCCUGUUUUCUUUCUAAUGUGAGUCUACUUUUGUUUCCCAUUGCUUCCCCAUCUCCCUUUUCAGCUCAAGGAAAUGGUGAAAAGAUGGUUGUGGUAGAACUCACAUUUGAUGUAGAAGUCCAAAAAACAACUCACAUUUGAUGUAGAAGUCCAAAAAACAACUCACAUUUGAUGAAAAAUCUGCAGCAGUUGUUCUAUUCUGACCAUGACACACUACCAUCCAGGAUAGUUAUAGUUGAAUUACUGAAAAUUAUCGGCAAGAAAAACCUGAACCAAAAGUUUGUGCAGAUAGAGAGAAACCUGGACCAAAUGAUUCUGCCAAUAG
This 1643-nucleotide long non-coding RNA is filed under the name Nicotiana tabacum (common tobacco). RNAcentral's name for it is "long non-coding RNA (NTAB_LNC013263)". Lineage: Eukaryota; Viridiplantae; Streptophyta; Magnoliopsida; Solanales; Solanaceae. The record is from RNAcentral.